RNAcentral lists this ribosomal RNA (250 nucleotides) under uncultured bacterium. RNAcentral's name for it is "partial 16S ribosomal RNA". It matches the Rfam family "Bacterial small subunit ribosomal RNA", at positions 524 to 773 of the family's 1533-position model. The record is from RNAcentral.
UACGGAGGGGGCGAGCGUUGUUCGGAAUUACUGGGCGUAAAGCGCACGUAGGCGGAUCAGAAAGUAUGGGGUGAAAUCCCAGGGCUCAACCCUGGAACUGCCUCAUAAACUCCUGGUCUAGAGUUCGAGAGAGGUGAGUGGAAUUCCGAGUGUAGAGGUGAAAUUCGUAGAUAUUUGGAGGAACACCAGUGGCGAAGGCGGCUCACUGGCUCGAUACUGACGCUGAGGUACGAAAGUGUAGGGAGCAAAC